UGAUAAAAAGCCCUGGCGAAAAAAAUCCCAAAUCAGUACCCACCCGAGUCAUCUUCCCAGUCCCAGCUGCGCCCCAGAUCCCUCGCCGCCGCCGCCGCCCAGCUGCGCCCCAAAUCCCUCGCCGCCGCCCGGCUGCACGCUGAAUCCCUCGUCGGCGGCUCUACCUCCUCCACUCUCUCGCCUGCCCCCUCCGCCAUAUUUGUUGGGUCGUCGACCACGGAACGACCGCCUCCGGAAUGUCGCUGUCAACCUCCUGUUGCCUCCGCGGGAGGGUCUCCUUCAACGUCACCGCCACUGCCGUCACUCGACCGCCGUAGCAUCCUUCUUUGAGUACCACCCCGUUCCAUCCAGGGAACUCUUUCUUAACCGGAUUGCUUUGGUUUGCUCUGUCUGGAAUAAUGCACUGAAAAUGAAAACAUUGCAGGGAACACGUCAUGAAAGUAAUGUUUGUUCAGUCCAAAUGUUACUUGCCAUUCUAUUUCCUUAUGAUUUUAUUCUCUUACAGUUUGCUCUCUAUCCAGUAGCAGUUGCGUUGCAAGUACAAUGAACAUCAUCAAUGCAACAGAGAGGUUAAAGAUGAGGUUGAGGUUAUCACUUGGCGUCAAGAAAUUGUAUAAUAUUCUUCCAAAUGAAGUGGGGCAAAAAUCAAGAUCCGUGAUCCACGUGAGAUGCAAGAGCCUUUGCUCUAAUCAAGGAUUUAGGAAGCAUUGACCAGCUGCAUGGCAAGUACAAGGAGCAUUAUCAGUACAACAAGGAGGUUCAAUCAAGAAGUUGAGGUCAUCAAUCAAGGCAAGAAAUUCUACCAUAUUGUUCUGAAUGAAGAGGUACCUUUUCCUGCUAUUACAUUAUCAAAUAUUUGCAUAAUGCUUUGGUUUCUACUAUUAUGGAGAUGAUCAAGGAUCUGUCGAGCAUUCUUGCAAAUCUGAAAUGGAUAGACUUAACUCCCUACUAUUUUCUUAUUAUGUAGCUUUGUGGUUAUGCAUCCUUGAGGAGUUGCACUUAAUUCUAUUAACAUUGGUAUUGUGUUUUGAAGUGACUUGCAAGAAGUCUCUAAUAAAUUAUCUACUCCGACUGUUAGCUGAUAGUUCUGUCAAACUGACCCAGAAGCUUGUGCUCAGGUUGUCAUUUGAAUGGAUUUAGUCAGCUGUAUGGUUUGCAUCAAAUCUGAGACAUGAUGCUAGAACAAAUCACUCCAUUAUUUGGCUAUAUAGCUGUUAAAUUUGGUAACCCUGCUGUGACAAAAACAAGUUUGGUAUAUAUGCCAAUGUUAAUGUGAGAAGCUGAGAUACCAAAUAGAUUAUGUUGAUCAUAUCUUAUAUAUGUUUUCCUGUUUCUUGUUACCUUUUUAACACUUGCUCAUUUUCACAAGUUCAAUUAUGCCACUGCAAGGUAACCUUGAAUAGCAGCUUGCAACUUAAGCUGCAGCAAGGCAUUAUAGAAAAUGAGGUCUCAUGUUGGACCUCUGUUUUUGUUAGCCUUUGAUUCAUGUAAAUUCUAUGGAACUGUACCAGGAGAUAUGUGAAUUGUAGAUAUAUGGUUGACGUAAACUAUUGAAAUUGAUGUUUCUGUGUUCUGAG
This 1577-nucleotide ribosomal RNA is filed under the name Triticum aestivum (bread wheat). RNAcentral describes it as "partial small subunit ribosomal RNA". Lineage: Eukaryota; Viridiplantae; Streptophyta; Magnoliopsida; Poales; Poaceae. The record is from RNAcentral.